CCCACCUGACCCCAUGCCGAACUCAGAAGUGAAACGCCGUAGCGCCGAUGGUAGUGUGGGGUUUCCCCAUGCGAGAGUAGGGAACUGCCAGGC
RNAcentral lists this ribosomal RNA (93 nucleotides) under Escherichia coli. The record is from RNAcentral. RNAcentral also lists the same sequence under 1 other name. Lineage: Bacteria; Pseudomonadati; Pseudomonadota; Gammaproteobacteria; Enterobacterales; Enterobacteriaceae.